GCCCCUCCCCAGGCCUGCAGAGGGCGCUGCGCUUCCGUGAGCCGGGGCGUGGCGCCGCUCUAGCCAGCGCCCGGGCUCGGUGGCGGACGCCGCAGCUCCGCGUCCCCCGCGCCUCCUCCCCGUGCAGACUUCACAGGCUGCCACUGGACCGUUCCCCUGCCCUGAACCCUGAGCCGGCACGAUGCACGGGCGCCUGAAGGUGAAGACAUCAGAAGAGCAGGCGGAGGCCAAAAGGCUAGAGCGGGAGCAAAAGCUGAAGCUAUACCAGUCAGCCACCCAGGCCGUCUUCCAGAAGCGCCAGGCUGGUGAGCUAGAUGAGUCAGUGCUUGAACUGACAAGCCAGAUUCUGGGAGCCAACCCUGAUUUUGCCACCCUCUGGAACUGCCGACGAGAGGUGCUCCAAGAGCUGGAGGCCCAGAAGUCCCCCGAGGAAUUGGACGCUCUGGUGAAAGCUGAACUGAGCUUCCUGGAGAGCUGCCUGCGGGUGAACCCUAAGUCCUAUGGUACCUGGCACCACCGCUGCUGGCUGCUGGGCCGCCUGCCUGAGCCCAACUGGGCCCGGGAGCUGGAGCUGUGUGCCCGCUUCCUGGAGGUCGAUGAGCGGAACUUUCACUGCUGGGACUAUCGGCGAUUUGUGGCCGCACAGGCAGCCGUGCCCCCUGCAGAAGAGCUAGCAUUCACUGACAGCCUCAUCACCCGAAACUUCUCCAACUACUCCUCCUGGCAUUACCGCUCCUGCCUCUUGCCCCAGCUACACCCUCAGCCAGACUCUGGACCACAGGGGCGCCUCCCUGAGGAUGUGCUCCUCAAAGAGCUGGAGCUGGUGCAGAAUGCCUUCUUCACUGACCCCAAUGAUCAGAGUGCCUGGUUCUAUCACCGCUGGCUUCUGGGCCGAGCUGACCCCCAGGAUGCGCUGCACUGCCUGCAUGUGAGCCGGGACGAGGCCUGUCUGACUGUCUCCUUCUCUCGGCCCCUUCUAGUGGGCUCCAGGACGGAGACCUUGCUACUCUUGGUUGAUGAGUCACCUCUGAUCGUGGAGUGGAGGACCCCAGGUGGCAGGAGCCGGCCCAGCCAUGUCUGGCUCUGUGACCUGCCUGCCGCCUCCCUCAAUGACCAGUUGCCCCAACAUACAUUUCGUGUCAUUUGGACAGCAGGCGAUGCCCAGAAAGAGUGUGUUCUUUUUAAAGGCCGCCAGGAAGGCUGGUGCCGUGACUCCACCACGGAUGAACAGCUGUUCAGGUGUGAGCUGUCGGUGGAGAAGUCCACAGUGCUACAGUCUGAGCUUGAGUCCUGUAAGGAGCUGCAGGAACUGGAGCCUGAAAAUAAAUGGUGCCUGCUCACCAUCAUCCUGCUGAUGCGGGCGCUGGACCCCCUGCUGUAUGAGAAGGAGACGCUGCAAUACUUCCAGACCCUCAAGGCUGUAGACCCCAUGCGGGCAGCCUACCUGGACGACCUGCGCAGCAAGUUCCUGCUGGAGAACAGUGUGCUCAAGAUGGAGUAUGCCGAGGUGCGCGUGCUGCACCUGGCUCACAAGGAUCUGACAGUGCUUUGCCACCUGGAACAGCUGCUCUUGGUCACUCAUCUUGACCUGUCAUACAAUCGUCUUCGAGCCCUGCCACCUGCCUUGUCCGCCCUGCGCUGCCUUGAGUCCCAGGCUGAUAGCCACCUGCCUCCCAGGUGCUGCAGGCCAACGAUAAUGCCAUAGAGUCCCUGGACGGCGUCACCAACCUGCCCCGGCUGCAGGAGCUGCUACUGUGCAACAACCGCCUUCAGCAGCCUGCAGCACUCCAGCCUCUUGCCUCCUGCCCCAGACUAAUCCUCCUUGACCUGCAGGGCAACCCACUGUGCCAAGCAGUGGGCAUCUCGGAGCAUCUGGCCGAACUGCUGCCCUCAGUUAGCAGCAUCCUCACCUAAGAGGCCCUGCCUCCCACCCUUGCCCUUUAACUUAUUGGGACUGAAUAAAGGAUGGAGAGGCCCUCUCAGGCCACCAA
RNA transcript from Propithecus coquereli (Coquerel's sifaka), 1991 nucleotides. It is a transcript of the gene named Rab geranylgeranyltransferase, alpha subunit, with no coding region annotated. The record is from RefSeq and is a predicted model, not a curated record. Lineage: Eukaryota; Metazoa; Chordata; Mammalia; Primates; Indriidae. The transcript is spliced from 17 exons.